CCUUUACAAUAUAGCUCCUUCAAAUACCUAGAAAAACUGGUCUACUUGCAGUUCUCCAAACCUGACAUUCUACCUUUAUGUAGGCUCUGCUUCUCACCUGGAGAGCACACCCUUUUCAACAUAGUUUCUUAGAAUCCCUGACUUCCUUUAAGGCUCAGGUAUCACUUAUGGGGAAAUAUUUCCUCUUUAAAUUAUCUUAUAUUUACACAGGUGCUCACAUGUGGUGUUCUUCAGUAGAAUGUGAACUCCUUGAAGGGAGGGACUAUUUUUUCUUUUUUGUCUUCUCAUUCCCAAGGCACAUUCCCUUGUAAAGAGUUGUAGUGUUUGUUGAAUUGAAUCACUGAAGACUUGGCAUCUGAGUAGAAACGUUUACUAGCAUUUCUGUCAAGUGGACAGCUAACCUCAGCUUAAAGUCUCUGGGGGUGGGAGAGGUCAGUGCCCCCUGGAGGGGAGGGAAAGGGAAGAGAAAGAAGGUAUGUGUCUGUGGGGUUGGAGGGAGGGCUCUCUGACAUGGAAAAGAAUUAUUCUUUCUAGUAGUAAAGAGCUUAGGUUCUAGGAUAGCGCUAAGAUAGAAAACUAGGUAGGGUAAUUGUACCAAGGUCAAGUACAGAGGGCCCAGGAGGGAACUGCCUUCUCUCCACCUUAGAGUCAACAGGGGAGGGGUUCAUUUUCCCACAAUGGACCUUUCUUUCUGACACAAGCCAUACCAGCUGAGCCCUUCUCAGCUUUGGAAAUGAGUUCGGUUCCUCUCAGGAAGUAGAGAAUCAAGGAACAGAGAACACAGUAAUACCGGCAGGAGGGGUUGGGAGGGGGAGGUUACUUAACAGCAGAAGACUGAAGGUGGGUGAGUGGGAAGGCCUUUUGUGGAGAUGUGAGAUCUGGCCUAAGUAAGAAGUGCCAAACAACCCCAGAUGCCCUGUCCCUUCCCCUCGAACUCCUGGUUCCAGCAAGUUCUGUGUCCUUUGAAGGAUUUAGGGAGGUGUGUAUGUUGGAGGGAACUCUGCUGAAAGAAUGUGGAAGACAACUUUGGGGUAUAUUCUAGAAGAGGCAUUUUGUGGUGCCAGUGAUUCUGACCAAAUUCUUAGCAGGCAUUUGGGAUGGGGGAAUGCUGACUUGACAUUCACACAGUAAGCAGGGCUCUUAGAGGCCAUUCUAUUUCAACCCACACCAGAACAGGUGACCCAGAACCAGGCUGAGGAUGAAGAAGGGGAGAUGUUGACUGCCCCUCCCCCUAUCUUCCCCAGGUGUCAAGGUUGGCAGAAGACUUUCCUCACCAUAACCCUAUGAGUGCAAAGUGCUGCUAUCCCCAUUUCACAGAUGAGGAAACUAAGGCUCAGAGAGAUGACUUGCUCAAGCAAAUUGUACCCCUGGGAUCAGCACCCUGAUCUCUGGACUUCAAAUCUAUCAAGCUCCAACCACAACCAGCUGCCUUGCCUUUCCCUCUCUUUCUGGGGUUGUGUCCAGGAAAGCACUCUGCAAAUCUUCUGGAGCUAUAGAAGUAAGCUGUUACCACCACUAUUAAUAACUGUCCCCAGUGGGAAGGAAUUUCUCAGGCCAUUUCCUGACAGUAGGUUGGGGAAAGGGCUGCUUUGCCAAUGUGAUUUGAAGGGACAGGAGAGCGAGGACUGGGACAUGAAAGGCUGGAAGUGGAGGCAGGUCUAUCAAGUGAAUCAUUUUGCUAAGAACCUCUUCCUGUCAGUGACCAAUGAGAGGCAUCCUGGGACAGGGGAAAGGGCACAGGAUUUGGAUCCAGAAGACUGAGGUUUAUAUCCCACCUGUCACCUGCUGCCUCUGUGAAUCUGGGCAAUUUGGAUCUCAGUUUCUCCAUUUGCAAGCUGGGGUGAGAGGUGGGGAGGGGGGAUGGAUUGGAGAGCCUUUAAAGUUCCUUCCUGUUCUAAUGAUUUCUAUGAUCCUACUCUCUUUCCUCUCCCUCUGAUAAAGGUAAAGGCAUUUCCAGGCAGACGUGUGGUAAAUGGGGGUGGAAGUGCAAGAUCAGUUUAUUAACACUGCUGAAGCCCUCCUUUCCUUCUUUCCCCAGCUCCAGUUCUGGUCCAUUCAAAGUUUGAUUCCCUAGGUAAUCUUUAAUAUCAGCACUCUAGCUCAGGCCAGCAGGGCAGGACUGCCAGACAGAGCCCAGUAGGCUGGCAGCCCUAAUGGCCAGGCUCACCCACCUGAAUCCCAAAAGAAGCUUCAGCACUUAUUAACCCAAGAAAACCUUUCAUCCAGGCCCCCCUCUGACUGGGCUAGUCCCUCCCCCAGCACCUUCUCUUUCCUCUCUGGCUCAGUCCCAUGGCUCUUAGGCCCCUAUUUCAAUGAAUUCACUUCAACUCAUUUUAUGGAUGCUCUUAUGGGGUCCUCUCUGGGAGAUACCAUGGCUUGGAGGUCAAAGCAGAACACCAAAGCUUGGAGGGCCCUUAGGACAGACCUAGGAUAUGUCUUAGAACAUAGAAUACUGGGGCCGGGAGGAAUAAAGAAUGUCAGUACUGGGAGAGUCCUUGGAACACAAAAUGUCAGAACUGGGAAGGAUAUUACAAUAUAGAGUAUCAGAGCUUCGGGGUGGGAAGAUAUAGGAACGCAGAAUGUCAGUGCUGGGAGAGCCCUUAGGACUGAGAAUGUGGGAAGUGGGAGAGAUCUUAGAUCAGAAAAUGUAAGAACUGGAAGGGACCUUAGAACCAAGAUGUGCAGAGCUGGGAGGGGGCCUUUUAAGUCAUGGAUCCCUUUUGGCAAUGUGAUAAAGCCUAAGGACCCUUCUUAGAAUAAUGUUUUUAAAUGUAUAAAAUACAUACAAUUACAAAAAAAACCCCAAUGAUAUUGAAAUAUAAUUACUAAAAUACUUUGAAAAGCCAAGUCUAUGGACCCCAGGUUGAAAACACCUGAUCUAGUCUGACCACCUCAUUUUACUGAUAAGGAAACUUGAGACCCCGGAAUGGGAAAUGAGUUGCCCAAGGUUAUAAAGGUAGUUAUUAGUAUUAGACACAGGACUAGAAGAAUCCAAGUCUUUAGAUUACAACUUCAAGCAAACUUCGAAUUUCAGGAACCCAACCCCUCCAGUUCCCUUUGGGUAGAUACUAUAAGGAUGAUAACAGAGAUGGAGGGGGUGGUGCACGUUACCUGAUAAGAACUGAGUUAAGGUGAAGGAUGGCAGGAUAAACCCAAAGUGGACCUUUCAGAGCUCUAGAGAACUGGUGUUCCUAGCUUGGGAUCAUAGGAAAAGAUGACAGUCGAUGGCCAUUGGAAUCUCCAGUCCCUCCUCCCUUAGAGUACUUCUCUGUCCCCUUCUUUCCUCUCCCCCUCCACUCCAAUUUAGGAUGUGAAAUUGGUUCCUGGAAGAACUAGAGAAGAAUCUCAAAUAGUUCAGAGAAAGCUGCUCAGUGUCAGACUUCCAAGGUGGGCCCAGGGCAUCUGUAAUUCCCUUUUUCUAUUGACCUAGGCCAGCCUUCCCUCCCUGCUUUAGCAAAGAAAAUAAAGAGGUGGGGAGAAGGGGGUAAAGACAGAGCUCAACUUUGGCCCAUUUCCUUGUCCAGGCAGGCACCGAGGUGGCCGGAGCAGGGCGGAGGGGAGGGAACCGGUUUGUUCUUCGGUCUGGCCUCCUGUCCUGCAGAACCCAGGUUCUGCAGGGCCAUGGGGGGAAGGGGCCACUCGGGUCACUGCACAUGGUAGGGAGGCGGAGGUGGGGGGCGUGCUCUGUAGGCUGUACAGGGGGCUGAGUCUCCUGGCUGUGAGGGGGCCCUGGAGGGGGGAGCGGACGUUUUGCAGCUUUGUGUAGCGCCUGCGUAUUCCGGACAGGUCCUCCCCCGCAACUCCCCCACCCCAGGCGGGGAGGGAGUGUGGGGGAGGUUCUGCGGAAUGUGGGGAGAAAUGCCAGGGCUAUGGGAGCAGCUCUGGACUUGUGUUUCCCCUGGACUCGGAGCGAGCGAAGGAUGGGAGGUCGAUGCCUUGGACCCACAUUUGUGCCACGUCGUCCCCAAUAAAUGCAGCAGCAUCCCCUAUCCCCCCAUCCUUGGGGCUAAGAAAGCGGCCAAGUGGCGGCUGUAGCUCUGGGCAGUGGAGAGGAAGGAGGACCCGGGGAUCGGGAGACUGAGGGUGGAGGUGGGGGACCAAGAGCAGGGGCUGCAGUGCAGUGGCGAAGGGGUUAAGGCUUUGCAGCCGCUCGCGCCCUGGGGGGAGGGUCAGGCCUGAGCAGGCACAUUCCUCCUCCCUCCCUCUCCCUCUCUCUCUCUCCCUCCCUACCUCCUCCUCCUCCUCCUCCUCUCUUCUUCCUCCUUCUCUUCCCCCCCCAACUCGUGCCCGGGCCGGGCGCGCGCUCUCUGACACCCAUGUCCUUAUAAGGGCGGCCGUCGCCCGGGCAACCGUCCUUCUCUCUCUCUCUCUCUCUCUCUCUCUCUCUCUCUCUCUCUCUCUCUCUCUCUCUCUCUCUC
Non-coding RNA from Phascolarctos cinereus (koala), 4418 nucleotides. NCBI's taxonomy places the organism in Eukaryota, Metazoa, Chordata, Mammalia, Diprotodontia, Phascolarctidae. The record is from RefSeq and is a predicted model, not a curated record.